CGGGGUGUGGCUCAGCCUGGUUUAGAGCGCUUGGUUCGGGACCAAGAAGUNNUCCUCUCGCCCCGACCA
This 69-nucleotide transfer RNA is filed under the name Lentisphaeria bacterium. RNAcentral's name for it is "tRNA-Pro". It matches the Rfam family "tRNA". From Rfam's summary of the family: Transfer RNA (tRNA) molecules are approximately 80 nucleotides in length. Their secondary structure includes four short double-helical elements and three loops (D, anti-codon, and T loops). The record is from RNAcentral. Lineage: Bacteria; Pseudomonadati; Lentisphaerota; Lentisphaeria.